UGGGCCGUAGCUGGGGAGAUCCGCGAGAAGGGCCCAGCGCACAUCCAGAGUCGCCGCCACGCACCACCUACGAAAAACCUACAGUGUUACUGUAAUUGCUGCAUUCGCUGUAAACAGAAAACUUUGGUUUCUGACCAUGACUGGCAUUAUGAUUUUGUUGUUCCAUGGGAAAAAUGCCAGCAAGUUUUAUGAAGAAGAUUAAAAGUGAGUUGCUCUGAAAUCCUGGAAGUCAGUAAAUGUCCAACAAAAAAACAUGUAUCAGAAAUAGCCUGAAAAAUUAUGACUGCAUACCCAAAGUCCUUUAGAGAUGAGAUUAAUUCCCAGAUUGUAGGAAGUGAAUAUGACUCUCUCCUUAAACAACUAGUCUGUUGAAUUGACAAUUUAAAAAGAGCAAAAACUACCACUAGACCACUUUGUGAUAUGCCAGAAGAGUCAAAGAAAUGGAAAAUGGAGUAUGGUUGUAUAAAUUCAGAUCCCCAGUUGCCAGUUGGAGAAACGUCACAAUUGCAGCAGGAAAAAAAGAGAAAUUGCUUGAAAUGUUUUAAAAUAAGGAAAGCAAUGUAAGGACAAUCUACAACUUGAUGACUGCUACCUACACCUCCAAAAGAAAUGACAUCCAAUCUGGAAAGGAAACCACAGAGUUACUUGAUGAGUGGCCAUAUCUUUUCCAGGCAGCAGGAAUGAAAGCACAUUUUAAAGACCUCACUGGCAUUGACAUGAACGACAACUUUGAAGAAGCCACUACCAGUAAAUUCAGAAGAAUAUCAGAGUACUUUUAGUUUCAGUGCACAGAGAGUGCAAACAGAGCAGGAAGAAUCCUCACCAAGAUUAGAACUGGAGGGGAUCAUGUUUGUGGGGCAGUGAUGUUGCUGCUUGCCCAUUUCAAAAAUGACCUAGACAGGUUUCUUGUGAUGGUAGAAGACACUUGUGUUCCAAACGAUAUAUGGCCAGUGCAGUUUCCACCUACUUCAUGUAUAUUAGUGUGUGAUGAGUAUCAUUUAAUAUGAUCACUUAAUUUUUAAUCUUACACCAAAAAAUUACUGAUUGUGGUUGACUUGAUAUGAAAUCUGCAGAAUUCACAUUCUGUACAUUUUAUUCCUUGCUGAUUUUUGUUUGUUCAAAGGAGAGAACCCACCCACAGCCAGUGUAUACAUGGUAGCAGUAGACCAGAUGAUUGUGAAUGACCAUCUGUUGAGUUUUCCUGAGGGCCUGUAUCUGAUGUUUUCCCUCUACUACAUAUUUGAACAUCAGUUACCCUGUAGAACUGGGGGCCACGCUAGAAUUCUUGCAAAGGUGCAUCUUCAGGAUAAAUCCUCAUAAAGGUACCAAAGUGCAAAAGAGAGAGAGAAAGCAAGUGUACCCUGUCCACUCAAAAGUAUUGAGUCUCACAUCAAAAAUUGCUGCAUUUGACUGGGGAGACUAACAGAUGCAUCCAUUCAGAAAAGUGACAUUUGUCUCAACAGUACAGGACAAACUUUUUGUAUUGUAAUGCAAUCCCUUUGUUCCUUCCUUUUAUUUUUAUUUAUUCAUUUUAAUGUACACCUUUGUGUCCCGAAGCAUGGCUUCUGCUGGAAAUGUUAUUUAUUUCCAUUGUUUUAUUUUAAAAGCUUGUUAUAUAGUUAAACAGCUUGUUGACUUGUUUACAGAAACACUCUGGCUAUCAUAAUUUAAUAAGUUUAGUCUUAGUACUUUUAUAUUUUAUUAUUUUGUAUAAUUUCAUAUUUUAUGAUAUUGUUCACUGCACAAUGCUGGACAGGAAUAUGUAGCAGUAAAUGGACAAAAAUGAAUAUGAUUAGUUAUGCCUCCUAGAUUGUAGAUGCAAUGGAAUGUACAUUGUUUUGAUCUUAAGAUAAAUACUUGACCUGAUGUCAAGUGACCUUGACAAUAAAAUGUGAUUAAGAAUACAAAAGCGGUUUUCUGUUUUAGUGUAUUUUGUAAAGGUGCAAUAAAAUGUCAUUAUCAAAGGCAUUUUUAAUUUAGCCUUUUCUUUAUUUUUAAUAUUAUUUUUUAUGUAAGGCUGUUAAAGAGCACAUAGAGCAUAUCCCUGUAUUUUGUGGAAAGUAAUACAUUUAAGUGUUACAUUUUCUAGGGCCAUCUGCUAUCUGUUUGUGGCAUUAGUGUUUAAAACUACUGUCAGGGUUUACUGAAUACAUGUGAUGAAAUGUCAUGGACAAUGAUCUUUGCAGCUUGACCUCACUGCAUAUGCAUUUGUAGGAAUUUCCCUUUAUAAACUUUAAUACCCGCGAGGCAAUUUAUUUCCAUUUUUAAAUAUCUCCUAAUUGAAAACAAAUGUCUUUUUGAUCUGAUGUGUGAUGGGAAAAGAGAAUCAUUUUGGCUUAAGGCAGAUUUGAACUCGUGUCGAUUGUAUCAAAGGCUGCCAUAUCGCUUCACACCCUAUGCCCUACGCCAGCUUAGUCUUAGUUAGUUUGUUGUAUUUUUGUAGUGUUGUCUACACCAACCAGAUAUUGGUGGACGGAGCUAGUGUAAAUGGCCUCUGCCAACAAGGUGUUAUAUGAAAUAUGUGCAAUAAGGAUUGCAGAAAAAUAACAUGAUGUACAGAAAUCGAUUUCUAUUGUACAUUGGUUUUAUUUUAUUGACAGAUUAAUUUUUUUUUAUCAUCAAUAUAGCUGCUGUGCUCCAAUGGGCUGGGGGUAGAAUUCUCGUCGAAGGAGUCAGAGGUUCUUACCUCGCACCUGAUCUUAUAUAUGUUUUUUUUUUUAUCAUCAUAAAAACCAAAGAUGUUAAUCCAUGAUUGUAUAUCAAGAAUACAAACACAUUUGUGUGCAUUUUAUUGUGUGAUUUCACCACAACAAAUUCAGGGUCUCUUAAGCGACUGAUUGAAGCGCUCCUCUGCGUGAACUGUGAAGACUGUACACGAGCCACAAGGGAACACUGACUGUUGCCUUCAGCCACUGAUAACAGCAGCAACGAGCACUCAGUAGGCUAUGUUUUCAGAAACAACACAUUCCAGCGCCUGAUCGCCUCUUUAACAAACUAGUAAUAUGAAGGCCCUGCUAUCUAAAAUCGCUAUUGGGUACAUCCGUGCAGCGAGGUGUUUCAAAAAGUGGUGGGGACAAAAUCGCUCCUUGGCAAAACAUGGUGGUGACGUCUAACCGGUGUCACCGCAAAUUACGCUUUUUCCAGUAACACAUAUAAUAAUCAGUGAAAUAGCUGACAAAAUGUAGACUACAUAUGUUGUCAAUGUAUGUGUUUUUAUGAAAAAUUCAAAGUUCUUAUCAAAAUGUGAUAAGACUGUAAAAUUCUACUGUUCUUUUCUCUGUAAAAAUAAAUUUUUC
This is a long non-coding RNA of Cyprinus carpio (common carp), 3296 nucleotides long. RefSeq lists it as uncharacterized. The record is from RefSeq and is a predicted model, not a curated record. The transcript is spliced from 3 exons. Lineage: Eukaryota; Metazoa; Chordata; Actinopteri; Cypriniformes; Cyprinidae.